UCUUGUCUGUCACAUAAGUGGCGCAACUGAAUACUACCCGGACAAUGAAUCGAAUGCAACCACAUUUUCGCGGGAAUUUCAGUUUGUUACGGAUUCUGAUGCUGAAUACAUAAUGAUCAAAUAAUUUAAAGUCAGAGUGUAUUACAAUGUUUCUUAGUCCACCAAAGCAAGGUGAACAACCUGGAAAGAAGAAGAGAAAGACUGAGCUGCAGCUGAAACCGGCCUCUUCCGAGGGACUAAACUCAAGUAUGUCAACGAAGGGCAGAUUCUCUUUCUCCGGAAGAAAGUCAUAGAUGUGCUCAUCAAGCACCUGGAGAAAAGAUUCCAAGAUCUCCAGAAAGGGAGUGUCCCUUCAAAAUGUUCCAUCUUCAACCCCAGUCAGUGGCCCUUUGACAGACAGGAGCUGGCUGCCUAUGGCAAACAAGACUUUGCUGAUAUCUG
Gymnodraco acuticeps is the source of this 441-nucleotide long non-coding RNA. RefSeq lists it as uncharacterized. The record is from RefSeq and is a predicted model, not a curated record. The transcript has 2 exons. Lineage: Eukaryota; Metazoa; Chordata; Actinopteri; Perciformes; Bathydraconidae.